GACGAACGCUGGCGGCGUGCUUAACACAUGCAAGUCGAGCGGUAAGGCUCCUUCGGGAGUACACGAGCGGCGAACGGGUGAGUAACACGUGAGCAAUCUGCCCUUCUCAUCGGAAUAACCAUUGGAAACGAUGGCUAAUGCCGAAUACGACUUCCUUUCGCAUGUCAGGAAGUGGAAAGCUCCGGCGGAGAAGGAUGAGCUCGCGGCCUAUCAGCUUGUUGGUGAGGUAAUGGCUCACCAAGGCGACGACGGGUAGCCGGCCUGAGAGGGUGACCGGCCACACUGGGACUGAGACACGGCCCAGACUCCUACGGGAGGCAGCAGUGGGGAAUAUUGGACAAUGGGCGAAAGCCUGAUCCAGCAACGCCGCGUGAGGGAUGACGGCCAUCGGGUUGUAAACUCUUUCAGCAGGGACGAAGCGAAAGUGACGGUACCUGCAGAAGAAGGACCGGCCAACUACGUGCCAGCAGCCGCAGUAA
This 479-nucleotide ribosomal RNA is filed under the name uncultured bacterium. RNAcentral's name for it is "partial 16S ribosomal RNA". It matches the Rfam family "Bacterial small subunit ribosomal RNA", at positions 28 to 523 of the family's 1533-position model. The record is from RNAcentral.